Molecule: ribosomal RNA, 1605 nt
Filed under: Salmonella enterica
Lineage: Bacteria; Pseudomonadati; Pseudomonadota; Gammaproteobacteria; Enterobacterales; Enterobacteriaceae
Description: partial 23S ribosomal RNA
Rfam family: Bacterial large subunit ribosomal RNA
Source: RNAcentral
AGGUGUUGUUGGGUAGGGGAGCGUUCUGUAAGCCUGCGAAGGUGGCCUGUGAGGGUUGCUGGAGGUAUCAGAAGUGCGAAUGCUGACAUAAGUAACGAUAAAGCGGGUGAAAAGCCCGCUCGCCGGAAGACCAAGGGUUCCUGUCCAACGUUAAUCGGGGCAGGGUGAGUCGACCCCUAAGGCGAGGCCGAAAGGCGUAGUCGAUGGGAAACGGGUUAAUAUUCCCGUACUUGGUGUUACUGCGAAGGGGGGACGGAGAAGGCUAUGUUGGCCGGGCGACGGUUGUCCCGGUUUAAGCGUGUAGGUGUGUGUUCCAGGUAAAUCCGGUUCACUUUAACACUGAGGCGUGACGACGAGGCACUACGGUGCUGAAGCAACAAAUGCCCUGCUUCCAGGAAAAGCCUCUAAGCAUCAGGUAACAUCAAAUCGUACCCCAAACCGACACAGGUGGUCAGGUAGAGAAUACCAAGGCGCUUGAGAGAACUCGGGUGAAGGAACUAGGCAAAAUGGUGCCGUAACUUCGGGAGAAGGCACGCUGACACGUAGGUGAAGUGAUUUACUCACGGAGCUGAAGUCAGUCGAAGAUACCAGCUGGCUGCAACUGUUUAUUAAAAACACAGCACUGUGCAAACACGAAAGUGGACGUAUACGGUGUGACGCCUGCCCGGUGCCGGAAGGUUAAUUGAUGGGGUCAGCGCAAGCGAAGCUCCUGAUCGAAGCCCCGGUAAACGGCGGCCGUAACUAUAACGGUCCUAAGGUAGCGAAAUUCCUUGUCGGGUAAGUUCCGACCUGCACGAAUGGCGUAAUGAUGGCCAGGCUGUCUCCACCCGAGACUCAGUGAAAUUGAACUCGCUGUGAAGAUGCAGUGUACCCGCGGCAAGACGGAAAGACCCCGUGAACCUUUACUAUAGCUUGACACUGAACAUUGAGCCUUGAUGUGUAGGAUAGGUGGGAGGCUUUGAAGUGUGGACGCCAGUCUGCAUGGAGCCGACCUUGAAAUACCACCCUUUAAUGUUUGAUGUUCUAACGUGGACCCGUGAUCCGGGUUGCGGACAGUGUCUGGUGGGUAGUUUGACUGGGGCGGUCUCCUCCUAAAGAGUAACGGAGGAGCACGAAGGUUGGCUAAUCCUGGUCGGACAUCAGGAGGUUAGUGCAAUGGCAUAAGCCAGCUUGACUGCGAGCGUGACGGCGCGAGCAGGUGCGAAAGCAGGUCAUAGUGAUCCGGUGGUUCUGAAUGGAAGGGCCAUCGCUCAACGGAUAAAAGGUACUCCGGGGAUAACAGGCUGAUACCGCCCAAGAGUUCAUAUCGACGGCGGUGUUUGGCACCUCGAUGUCGGCUCAUCACAUCCUGGGGCUGAAGUAGGUCCCAAGGGUAUGGCUGUUCGCCAUUUAAAGUGGUACGCGAGCUGGGUUUAGAACGUCGUGAGACAGUUCGGUCCCUAUCUGCCGUGGGCGCUGGAGAACUGAGGGGGGCUGCUCCUAGUACGAGAGGACCGGAGUGGACGCAUCACUGGUGUUCGGGUUGUCAUGCCAAUGGCACUGCCCGGUAGCUAAAUGCGGAAGAGAUAAGUGCUGAAAGCAUCUAAGCACGAAACUUGCCCCGAG